RNAcentral lists this ribosomal RNA (269 nucleotides) under Gloeochaete wittrockiana. RNAcentral describes it as "partial Bacterial small subunit ribosomal RNA". It matches the Rfam family "Bacterial small subunit ribosomal RNA", at positions 1 to 305 of the family's 1533-position model. The record is from RNAcentral. Lineage: Eukaryota; Glaucocystophyceae; Gloeochaetales; Gloeochaetaceae.
UGAGAGUUUGAUCCUGGCUCAGAACGAACGCUGGCGGCAGGCCUAACACAUGCAAGUCGAACGCCCCGCAAGGGGAGCGGCAGACGGGUGAGUAACGCGUGGGAACCUACCUUGUGGUACGGAACAACCAAGGGAAACUUUGGCUAAUACCGUAUGAGCCCUUAGGGGGAAAGAUUUAUCGCCAUAAGAUGGGCCCGCGUAGGAUUAGCUAGUUGGUGAGGUAAAAGCUCACCAAGGCGACGAUCCUUAGCUGGUCUGAGAGGAUGAUC